Long non-coding RNA from Quercus robur (English oak), 657 nucleotides. RefSeq lists it as uncharacterized. The record is from RefSeq and is a predicted model, not a curated record. NCBI's taxonomy places the organism in Eukaryota, Viridiplantae, Streptophyta, Magnoliopsida, Fagales, Fagaceae. The transcript has 3 exons.
AGUCCCCAUCUUUUAUCCCCUUUUUGCUGCCCCAAAAGUCUUCCCCUUAUCUCAUUUUCUUGGCUGCACCAGACAGAAAGUCCAGCCCUCUUUCCCUACUCUUUUCCUUGUUCUUUGUUUCUUUCUUCUCCCCUUCUUACACGGCAGCCUUAUCUCCCUCACCAAAACAAAAUAUCCCUCUCUAAAGAAGAAAUUAAAGGGUUAACUCUAAAAUUUCAGCUUCAAAUUUUUGGGGGUGGCGAGAACGAGAACACGGACACUUGAGCUCCUCUUGUACUAUCUCUCGCACCUUCUGUUUACAGCUCAACCUAUUAUAUUUCAGUGCACAGGUUCUUCCUGAAAGCAGCGAGAGUAUUAGAGGUGGAAAGGAUUAUGUGUUUUUUCGUUUGUUAGAAUGUAGAGUUUUGUUGUAUAGCAGUUAGCUCUUUUGUUGUAUAGGAGGAAUCAAGAUGUACUUGAUCCUUUGAGCACAGAUGUAAUUUGGUACCUUAGUUUGUUUUGAACCCCAGUUGUAUGUCUUUGGGGUUAGGUUUAUAAUAAGAGCUUUCGCUAAACGUUUAGCUAUGUAAUAUUUACAUGUAUACCUUAAGUUUCAGUCAGGUGGUAAUUUUCCAAAUUCAAAGGAAAUGAAAUUUUAAGGUUGCCAUCAUUUUUGUA